AUGUCGCAACAGACGUGCUCGUGUGCCGACCGCAAUUGCUUCCAUGGCGGCUGUGCUUGUUUCACAAAUGAAGGGGUCUGCUCUAAGGACUGCAAGUGCCGUGCUAAGUGCAAGAACAUCUUGGGAAAUGAGAAGACGAUCACAAAGCAAUUCGCUGAAUACAACCAAGCUGCCGCUGCCCAGCCUGCUUCUGACCAAGCUGCCGCUCAACCUCAACCUAAGCCAUUGCCAGAACUAGAACCAGGGUCUGCGCGACAGCCGUGCCACUGUGCCUCGUCCAAGUGCCAAAACUUCUACUGCAGAUGUGUCAGGGCUAACUUGCCUUGUUUUGAGCGCUGCGACUGCAAGGACUGCGGUAACACCAAGACCCAUGAGGAGAAGCUCCAGGAUCUAGGGAUCAAGGUUGAGGAUCUUGCUUCAGGUUCGACCGUGAUGACUCGUGGGAAGGCGCAGGCUGCCAAGGAGUCUGCCGUUGGGUGUAAAUGCCAAACCGAAUGCGCCAGUCGCUGCGGUUGCGUGAGGCGUAACAUCAAGUGCACCUCCAAAUGCAAGUGCCAAGUGUGCGGCAAUGACGACGGGAGCAGAUUUCCAGCCAAUAAGUCCAAGGCUGGAUCUGGAGGUCAAGGAGGUACCAGAAGCAGCAGCAGGGCCGUCGAACCGGCGGGCAAACGGCCAAAACACGGGUGA
Molecule: ribosomal RNA, 687 nt
Filed under: Triticum aestivum (bread wheat)
Lineage: Eukaryota; Viridiplantae; Streptophyta; Magnoliopsida; Poales; Poaceae
Description: partial small subunit ribosomal RNA
Source: RNAcentral